UACAGAGGGUGCGAGCGUUGUCCGGAAUCACUGGGCGUAAAGGGCGCGUAGGUGGCGACCCAAGUCGAUGGUGAAAGCUCGCCGCUCAACGGCGAGUCGGCCACCGAUACUGGGUUGCUGGAGCACUGUAGAGGCUCAGUGGAAUUCCGGGUGGUAGCGGUGGAAUGCGUAGAGAGUCCGGAAGAACGACCGGUGGCGAAGGCGGUGAGCUGGGCAGUUGCUGAC
Molecule: ribosomal RNA, 225 nt
Filed under: uncultured bacterium
Lineage: Bacteria
Description: partial 16S ribosomal RNA
Rfam family: Bacterial small subunit ribosomal RNA
Source: RNAcentral